UACGGAAGGCAGCGGUGGGGAAUAUUGCACAAUGGGCGCAAGCCUGAUGCAGCCAUGCCGCGUGUAUGAAGAAGGCCUUCGGGUUGUAAAGUACUUUCAGUCGUGAGGAAGGUGUUAAGGUUAAUAACCUUAGCAAUUGACGUUAGCGACAGAAGAAGCACCGGCUAACUCCGUGCCAGCAGCCGCGGUAAUACGGAGGGUGCGAGCGUUAAUCGGAAUUACUGGGCGUAAAGGGCACGCAGGCGGUUAAUUAAGUUGGAUGUGAAAUCCCCGGGCUUAACCUGGGAAUGGCAUUCAAGACUGGUUAGCUAGAGUCUUGUAGAGGGGGUUAGAAUUCCAUGUGUAGCGGUGAAAUGCGUAGAGAUGUGGAGGAAUACCGGUGGCGAAGGCGGCCCCUGGACAAAGACUGACGCUCAUGUGCGAAAGCGUGGGGAGCAAACAGGGAUUAGAUACC
Molecule: ribosomal RNA, 454 nt
Filed under: uncultured bacterium
Lineage: Bacteria
Description: bacterial SSU rRNA
Rfam family: Bacterial small subunit ribosomal RNA
Source: RNAcentral